This 492-nucleotide ribosomal RNA is filed under the name uncultured bacterium. Its description in RNAcentral is "partial 16S ribosomal RNA". It matches the Rfam family "Bacterial small subunit ribosomal RNA", at positions 30 to 507 of the family's 1533-position model. The record is from RNAcentral.
AUUGAACGCUGGCGGCAUGCUUUACACAUGCAAGUCGAACGGUAACAGGCCUUCUGGUGCUGACGAGUGGCGCACGGGUGAGUAAUGCAUCGGAACGUACCCAGAGGUGGGGGAUAACGCAGCGAAAGCUGUGCUAAUACCGCAUGUGAUCUGAGGAUGAAAGCGGGGGACCGAGCAGCAAUGUUUGGCCUCGCGCCUUUGGAGCGGCCGAUGUCGGAUUAGCUAGUUGGUGGGGUAAAGGCCUACCAAGGCGACGAUCCGUAGCUGGUCUGAGAGGACGACCAGCCACACUGGAACUGAGACACGGCCCAGACUCCUACGGGAGGCAGCAGUGGGGAAUUUUGGACAAUGGGCGCAAGCCUGAUCCAGCAAUGCCGCGUGCGGGAAGAAGGCCUUCGGGUUGUAAACCGCUUUUGGCAGGAACGAAACGGUGUCCGCUAAUACCGGGCGCUAAUGACGGUACCUGCAGAAUAAGCACCGGCUAACUACGUG